Molecule: ribosomal RNA, 529 nt
Filed under: uncultured bacterium
Lineage: Bacteria
Description: bacterial SSU rRNA
Rfam family: Bacterial small subunit ribosomal RNA
Source: RNAcentral
CCUUACCUACCCUUGACAUGUCUGGAAUGCCGAAGAGAUUUGGCAGUGCUCGCAAGAGAACCGGAACACAGGUGCUGCAUGGCUGUCGUCAGCUCGUGUCGUGAGAUGUUGGGUUAAGUCCCGCAACGAGCGCAACCCUUGUCAUUAGUUGCUACGCAAGAGCACUCUAAUGAGACUGCCGGUGACAAACCGGAGGAAGGUGGGGAUGACGUCAAGUCCUCAUGGCCCUUAUGGGUAGGGCUUCACACGUCAUACAAUGGUCGGGACAGAGGGUCGCCAACCCGCGAGGGGGAGCCAAUCUCAGAAACCCGAUCGUAGUCCGGAUCGCAGUCUGCAACUCGACUGCGUGAAGUCGGAAUCGCUAGUAAUCGCGGAUCAGAAUGUCGCGGUGAAUACGUUCCCGGGUCUUGUACACACCGCCCGUCACACCAUGGGAGUGGGUUUCACCAGAAGUAGGUAGCCUAACCGCAAGGAGGGCGCUUACCACGGUGGGAUUCAUGACUGGGGUGAAGUCGUAACAAGGUAACCG